GGCUCAGGAUGAACGCUGGCGGCGUGCCUAACACAUGCAAGUCGAACGGACUAUCAAGUGAUGUCUCGGACUGAACUUUUAGUUUAGUGGCGGACGGGUGAGUAACGCGUGGACAACCUGCCUCUCACUGGGGGGAUAGCAGCUGGAAACGGCUGGUAAUACCGCAUGCGUUCAAUGUGCCGCAUGACACAUUGAAGAAAGAUUUAUCGGUGAGAGAUGGGUCCGCGUCUGAUUAGCCAGUUGGCGGGUAACGGCCACCAAAGCGACGAUCAGUAGCCGGCCUGAGAGGGCGGACGGCCACAUUGGGACUGAGACACGGCCCAGACUCCUACGGGAGGCAGCAGUGGGGGGUAUUGCACAAUGGGCGCAAGCCUGAUGCAGCGACGCCCGCGUGAGUGAAGAAGUAUUUCGGUAUGUAAAGCUCUAUCAGCAGGGAAGAAAGGCCCGCAAGGGAGAUGACGGUACCUGACUAAGAAGCCCCGGCUAACUACGUGCCAGCCGCUGC
RNAcentral lists this ribosomal RNA (505 nucleotides) under uncultured bacterium. Its description in RNAcentral is "bacterial SSU rRNA". It matches the Rfam family "Bacterial small subunit ribosomal RNA", at positions 21 to 518 of the family's 1533-position model. The record is from RNAcentral.